GCCCGUCGCUCCUACCGAUUGGAUGACUCGGUGAAAUCACCGGAUGCUUACGAGCAGAAAGUGAUUAAAUCACGUUAUCUAGAGGAAGGAGAAGUCGUAACAAGGUAACGGUAGGUGAACCUGCCGUUGGAUCAGUUCUAGUUUUAAUAACUAACACCAACUU
Molecule: ribosomal RNA, 163 nt
Filed under: Trichomonas vaginalis G3
Lineage: Eukaryota; Parabasalia; Trichomonadida; Trichomonadidae
Description: 5.8S ribosomal RNA
Rfam family: Eukaryotic small subunit ribosomal RNA (bases 1-137)
Source: RNAcentral